This 432-nucleotide ribosomal RNA is filed under the name Triticum aestivum (bread wheat). RNAcentral describes it as "partial small subunit ribosomal RNA". Lineage: Eukaryota; Viridiplantae; Streptophyta; Magnoliopsida; Poales; Poaceae. The record is from RNAcentral.
AUGAAUGUUGAUGGUGGCCUCUCUAAGAUUGGUGAUCGAGGUGCUUCGACGGUUAUCUCCAGAGAUAGGCACGGUUUGUUCCUGGGUGCUUCCGCAGUCAUCUUUGAAGGUUUGCUUGACCCAACUAUACUUGAAGCCCAGGCCUGCAAUGAGGCCCUUGCUCUUGCUGCGGAUCUACAUGUUCAAUCUGUAUGUGUGGCAUCAGACUGCAUCGAGGUGGCAACCAAUAUUCAUACUGGUACCCCAUGCCGGUAUUUUGCUGUUUUGGAGGAGAUCAAGCAUCAAAGACGUUCCAUCAAACAUUCCCAAUUUGUGCAUGAGAAUAGAAAGCAUAAUGAGGAAGCUCAUGCCUUGGCUAAGGCAGCUGCCUCUCUCUCUUCCGGGCACCAUGUGUGGCUUACUUCUCUGCAUCCCUAUGUGUUUGAACAUUGA